Molecule: long non-coding RNA, 424 nt
Filed under: Populus tremula
Lineage: Eukaryota; Viridiplantae; Streptophyta; Magnoliopsida; Malpighiales; Salicaceae
Description: long non-coding RNA (PTRE_LNC001046)
Source: RNAcentral
CAGAGUCGACACGUAGAAGAAAGUAGCUGCAAAACGCAGAGUCGAGCCACACAUGUUGAUCUGAAAUGUUGAAGGAAGUAGACAUGGGAGCAUUUGAUUACGACACAUAAUGAAAGAAUUAUGUGUCGUGUUGUUUUUAUCAAAGUACGAAGCAGCCUUUUUCCAGGGAGGGAAAGAGAGACCUUCGACAACUGAUUCAGCUGUAGCCUCACCUGCGUGGUUCUUGUACUUGCCUUCUUUUUCAUUAAAAAACAACUUUGGCCCAUGAUGAACAGUGUUGUACUGUUCCAUUAGUGUCCUUUUAUCGCCUAGAUUGACUGAGGUGCCCCGCCCCCUCGAGAAACUUGGCUGGCAAUGAAGGCUGCAGGUUUUCCAGGCUUCAGUCACACAGCGAGGCCUUUUCAGAGGCUACGCUUAGCCUGAA